Molecule: ribosomal RNA, 1845 nt
Filed under: Triticum aestivum (bread wheat)
Lineage: Eukaryota; Viridiplantae; Streptophyta; Magnoliopsida; Poales; Poaceae
Description: partial small subunit ribosomal RNA
Source: RNAcentral
AUGGCGGCGAUGAAUGUGUCGAGGGCCAUCGGCGCGGCUCUGCGGAGCCCGGCCUCGUCACCGGUGGCGGAGGCGGCGGCCGCAGCGAAAGCCAAGGACGCCGAGAAGCUGCGCUUCAUCGAUGAGAUGACCUGCAACGUCGACUCCGUGCAGGAGCGCGUCCUGGCCGAGAUCCUCGCCCGGAACGUCGACACGGAGUACCUCAAGAACUGCGGCCUCGACGGCGCCGCCGACCGCGACACCUUCCGGGCCAAGGUGCCGGUCGUGUCCUACGACGCUCUGCAGCCCUACAUCCAGCGCAUUGUCAAUGGGGAUCGGUCACCGAUCCUGUCCACGCACCCGGUCUCCGAGUUCCUCACCAGCUCCGGCACGUCGGCCGGCGAGCGCAAGCUUAUGCCCACCAUCAAGGACGAGCUCGACCGCCGCCAGCUCCUCUACAGCCUCCUGAUGCCGGUCAUGAACCUAUAUCUGUCGGGGCUUGACAAGGGGAAGGGCCUCUACUUCCUGUUCGUCAAGUCGGAGACCAAGACCCCGAGCGGCCUGACGGCGCGGCCAGUGCUCACCAGCUACUACAAGAGCGAGCAGUUCAAGAACCGCCCCUACGACCCCUACCACAACUACACCAGCCCGACGGCGGCCAUCCUCUGCGCGGACGCCUUCCAGAGCAUGUACGCGCAGAUGGUGUGCGGGCUCUGCCAGCGCCACGAGGUGCUCCGCGUCGGCGCCGUGUUCGCCUCCGGCCUCCUGCGCGCGAUCCGUUUCCUCCAGCUCAACUGGAAGGAGCUCGCCGCCGACAUCGAGGCCGGCGCGCUCAACCCACGCGUCACCGACGCGUCCGUGCGCGAGGCGGUCGCGGGAAUCCUCCGGCCAGACCCCGAGCUCGCCCAGUUCGUCCGGGACGAGUGUUGCAAUGACGACUGGGCCGGCAUCGUCAGGCGCAUUUGGCCCAACACCAAGUAUCUCGACGUCAUCGUCACCGGCGCCAUGGCGCAGUACAUCGGGACCCUCAAGUACUACAGCGGCGACCUUCCGAUGGCGUGUACCAUGUACGCGUCAUCGGAGUGUUACUUCGGGCUCAACCUUCGCCCGCUCUGCGACCCUUCGGAGGUGUCCUACACCAUCAUGCCCAACAUGGGGUACUUCGAGUUCCUCCCCGUGGACGAGGCGACCGGCGCGGCGUCGUGCGUGGACGCGGGCAACCUGGUGGACCUCGCCCGCGUGGAGGCCGGGCGGGAGUACGAGCUGGUGAUCACCACCUACGCCGGGCUGAACCGGUACCGCGUCGGCGACGUCCUCCGCGUGACGGGGUUCCACAAUGCGGCGCCUCAGUUCCAGUUCGUCCGCCGCAAGAACGUCCUGCUGUCCAUCGAGUCGGACAAGACCGACGAGGCGGAGCUGCAGCGCGCCGUGGAGCGCGCGUCGGCGCUGCUCCGCCCGCACGGCGCGUCCGUGGCGGAGUACACCAGCCAGGCGUGCACCAAGAGCAUCCCCGGCCACUACGUGAUCUACUGGGAGCUGCUGACGACGGGCGCCGGCGCGACGGCGGUGGACAAGGCCACCCUGGACGCCUGCUGCCUGGAGAUGGAGGAGGCGCUGAACACGGUGUACAGGCAGAGCAGGGUGGCGGACGGCUCCAUCGGGCCGCUCGAGAUCCGGGUCGUCCGGGCGGGCACGUUCGAGGAGCUCAUGGACUACGCCAUCUCCCGGGGCGCCAGCAUCAACCAGUACAAGGCCCCCCGCUGCGUGACGUUCCCGCCGAUCAUCGAGCUGCUGGACUCGCGCGUGGUGUCCAGCCACUUCAGCCCCGCCCUGCCGCACUGGACCCCGGCACGGCGCUCCGACUAG